Molecule: ribosomal RNA, 443 nt
Filed under: Thereva cf. turneri 'yzerfontein'
Lineage: Eukaryota; Metazoa; Arthropoda; Insecta; Diptera; Therevidae
Description: partial 16S ribosomal RNA
Source: RNAcentral
AAAUGGCUGCAGUAUUUUAACUGUACAAAGGUAGCAUAAUCAUUAGUCUUUUAAUUGAAGGCUUGUAUGAAUGGUUGGACGAGAUAUUAACUGUUUCAUGAUAAUUAAUUUAGAAUUUUAUUUUUUAGUUAAAAAGCUAAAAUAUAUUUAAAAGACGAGAAGACCCUAUAGAUCUUUAUAUUUAUGUGUAUUAUAAUUAUUUAGAUUAUUUGAUUUAUGAUUAUAUUGAAUAUUUUAUUGGGGUGAUAUUAAAAUUUAAUUAACUUUUAAUUUUUGUUUACAUUGAUUUAUGAAUAUUUGAUCCAUUAAUAAUGAUUAAAAAAUUAAGUUACCUUAGGGAUAACAGCGUAAUUUUUUUGAAGAGUUCAUAUCGAUAAAAAAGAUUGCGACCUCGAUGUUGGAUUAAGAUAUAAUUUUGGGUGCAGCAAUUCAAUUAUUAAGUC